GACGAACGCUGGCGGCGUGCCUAAUACAUGCAAGUAGGACGCAGUUGCGAACGGGUGAGUAACGCGUAGGUAACUACCUAUUAGAGGGGGAUAACUAUUGGAAACGAUAGCUAAUACCGCAUACUAGUAGAUGGACCUGGGUUGUAUUAGCUAGUAGGUAGGGUAAUGGCCUACCUAGGCAACGAUACAUAGCCUACCCUUGACGGUGUUCGGCCCCCCUGGUACUGAGCCCCGGCCCAGACUCCUACGGUAGGCCGCCGUAGGGUAUCUUCGGCCAUGUGGCGAAACCUGACCCAGCCACGCCGCGUUAGUGACGAAGGUUUUCGGAUCGUAAAGCUCUGUUGUUAAGGAAGCGGUACUUAACCAGAAAGCGACGGCUAACUACGUGCCAGCAGCCGCGGUAAUUC
RNAcentral lists this ribosomal RNA (407 nucleotides) under uncultured bacterium. RNAcentral describes it as "partial 16S ribosomal RNA". It matches the Rfam family "Bacterial small subunit ribosomal RNA", at positions 28 to 526 of the family's 1533-position model. The record is from RNAcentral.